AGAGUUUGAUCAUGGCUCAGAAUGAACGCUGGCGGCGUGCUUAACACAUGCAAGUCGAACGAUGAAAUUGCUGCUUGCAGUAAUGGAUUAGUGGCGCACGGGUGAGUAAUAUAUAGGUAACGUGCCUCUUAGUCUGGGAUAGCCAUUGGAAACGAUGAUUAAUACUAGAUACUCCUUCUCUUUAUAAUGAGAGUCGGGAAAGUUUUUCGCUAAGAGAUCGGCCUAUAUCCCAUCAGCUUGUUGGUAGUGUAAGAGACUACCAAGGCUAUGACGGGUAGCGGGUUUGAGAGGAUGAUCCGCCACAUUGGUACUGAGACACGGACCAGACUCCUACGGGAGGCAGCAGUGAGGAAUAUUGCACAAUGGAGGAAACUCUGAUGCAGCAACGCCGCGUGGAGGAUGACGCAUUUCGGUGUGUAAACUCCUUUUAUAUGUCAAGAAAAUGACGGUAGCAUAUGAAUAAGCACCGGCUAACUCCGUGCCAGCAGCCGCGGUAAUACGGAGGGUGCAAGCGUUAUUCGGAAUCACUGGGCGUAAAGGACGCGUAGGCGGGAAGCCAAGUCUGAUGUGAAAUCCUAUGGCUUAACCAUAGAACUGCAUUGGAAACUGGUUACCUAGAGUAUGGGAGGGGGAGAUGGAAUUAGUGGUGUAGGGGUAAAAUCCGUAGAUAUCACUAGGAAUACCGAAAGCGAAGGCGAUCUCCUGGAACAAUACUGACGCUAAGGCGUGAAAGCG
RNAcentral lists this ribosomal RNA (735 nucleotides) under uncultured bacterium. RNAcentral's name for it is "bacterial SSU rRNA". It matches the Rfam family "Bacterial small subunit ribosomal RNA", at positions 8 to 761 of the family's 1533-position model. The record is from RNAcentral.